UACAGAGGUGGCAAGCGUUGUUCGGAAUUACUGGGCGUAAAGGGCGCGUAGGCGGCCAUCUAAGUCAGACGUGAAAUCCCCCGGCUUAACCUGGGAACUGCGUCUGAUACUGGACGGCUUGAGUGCGGGAGAGGGAUGUGGAAUUCCAGGUGUAGCGGUGAAAUGCGUAGAUAUCUGGAGGAACACCGGUGGCGAAGGCGGCAUCCUGGACCGACACUGACGCUGAGGCGCGAAAGCUAGGGGAGCAAACGGG
This 253-nucleotide ribosomal RNA is filed under the name uncultured bacterium. RNAcentral's name for it is "partial 16S ribosomal RNA". It matches the Rfam family "Bacterial small subunit ribosomal RNA", at positions 524 to 776 of the family's 1533-position model. The record is from RNAcentral.